RNAcentral lists this ribosomal RNA (731 nucleotides) under uncultured prokaryote. Its description in RNAcentral is "bacterial SSU rRNA". It matches the Rfam family "Archaeal small subunit ribosomal RNA", at positions 44 to 781 of the family's 1478-position model. The record is from RNAcentral.
CUAAGCCAUGCGAGUCUUUGCAGUAAUGCAAGGCAUACGGCUCAGUAACACGUAGUCAACUUACCCUAUGGACGAGGAUAAUCUCGGGAAACUGAGCAUAAUACUCGAUAGAUCAUAAUGCCUGGAAUGGUUUAUGGUUGAAAUGAUUCGUCGCCAUAGGAUGGGACUGCGGCCUAUCAGCUUGUUGGUGAGGUAAUGGCCCACCAAGGCGAUUACAGGUACGGGCUCUGAGAGGAGAAGCCCGGAGAUGGGUACUGAGACAAGGACCCAGGCCCUAUGGGGCGCAGCAGGCGAGAAAACUUUGCAAUGUGCGAAAGCACGACAAGGUUAAUCCGAGUGAUUUCUGCUAAAGAAAUCUUUUGCCAGUCAUAAAACCACUAGUGAAUAAGGGGUGGGCAAGUUCUGGUGUCAGCCGCCGCGGUAAAACCAGCACCUCAAGUGGUCAGGAGGAUUAUUGGGCCUAAAGCAUCCGUAGCCGGCUUUGUAAGUUUUCGGUUAAAUCCAUGUGCUCAACGCAUGGGCUGCCGAAAAUACUGCAUAGCUAGGGAGUGGGAGAGGUAGACGGUACUCAGUAGGAAGGGGUAAAAUCCUUUGAUCUAUUGAUGACCACCUGUGGCGAAGGCGGUCUACCAGAACACGUUCGACGGUGAGGGAUGAAAGCUGGGGGAGCAAACCGGAUUAGAUACCCGGGUAGUCCCAGCUGUAAACGAUGCAGACUCGAUGAUGCAUUG